RNAcentral lists this ribosomal RNA (490 nucleotides) under uncultured bacterium. RNAcentral's name for it is "bacterial SSU rRNA". It matches the Rfam family "Bacterial small subunit ribosomal RNA", at positions 30 to 513 of the family's 1533-position model. The record is from RNAcentral.
AUUGAACGCUGGCGGCAUGCCUAACACAUGCAAGUCGAACGGUAACAGGCCCUUCGGGGUGCUGACGAGUGGCGGAUGGGUGAGUAAUACUUAGGAAUCUACCCUGUAGUGGGGGACAACCCGGGGAAACUCGGGCUAAUACCGCAUACGCUCUACGGGGGAAAGCGGGGACCGCAAGGCCUCGCGCUAUUGGAUGAGCCUAAGCCCGAUUAGCUAGUUGGUGGGGUAAUGGCCUACCAAGGCGAUGAUCGGUAGCUGGUCUGAGAGGACGACCAGCCACACUGGGACUGAGACACGGCCCAGACUCCUACGGGAGGCAGCAGUGGGGAAUAUUGGACAAUGGGCAAAGCCUGAUCCAGCGAUGCCGCGUGUGUGAAGAAGGCCUGCGGGUUGUAAAGCACUUUCAGUAGGGAAGAAAUGCUUGGAGCUAACACCGCCUAAGUUUUGACGUUACCUACAAGAAGAAGCACCGGCUAACUCCGUGCCAGCA